This 232-nucleotide ribosomal RNA is filed under the name uncultured Actinomycetales bacterium. RNAcentral's name for it is "partial 16S ribosomal RNA". It matches the Rfam family "Bacterial small subunit ribosomal RNA", at positions 101 to 334 of the family's 1533-position model. The record is from RNAcentral. Lineage: Bacteria; Bacillati; Actinomycetota; Actinomycetes; Actinomycetales.
AACGGGUGAGUAACACGUGAGUAACCUGCCCUUGACUUUGGGAUAACUUCAGGAAACUGGGGCUAAUACCGGAUAGGAGCUCCUGCUGCAUGGUGGGGGUUGGAAAGUUUCGGCGGUUGGGGAUGGACUCGCGGCUUAUCAGCUUGUUGGUGGGGUAGUGGCUUACCAAGGCUUUGACGGGUAGCCGGCCUGAGAGGGUGACCGGCCACAUUGGGACUGAGAUACGGCCCAG